This 460-nucleotide ribosomal RNA is filed under the name uncultured bacterium. RNAcentral's name for it is "partial 16S ribosomal RNA". It matches the Rfam family "Bacterial small subunit ribosomal RNA", at positions 338 to 795 of the family's 1533-position model. The record is from RNAcentral.
CCUACGGGUGGCAGCAGUGAGGAAUAUUGGUCAAUGGACGCAAGUCUGAACCAGCCAUGCCGCGUGCAGGAAGACGGCUCUAUGAGUUGUAAACUGCUUUUGUACGAGGGUAAACGCAGAUACGCGUAUCUGUCUGAAAGUAUCGUACGAAGAAGGAUCGGCUAACUCCGUGCCAGCAGCCGCGGUAAUACGGAGGAUUCAAGCGUUAUCCGGAUUUAUUGGGGUUAAAGGGUGCGUAGGCGGUCGGGUAAGUUAGAGGUGAAAGCCCGAGGCUCAACUUCGGAAUUGCCUCUGAAACUGUUCGGCUAGAGAGUAGUUGCGGUAGGCGGAAUGUAUGGUGUAGCGGUGAAAUGCUUAGAGAUCAUGAAGAACACCGAUUGCGAAGGCAGCUUACCGGGCUACUUCUGACGUUGAGGCACGAAAGCGUGGGGAGCAAACAGGAUUAGAUACCCUUGUAGUC